AUUCAAAAUUAAACUAUAUUUGGUGAUAAGACUAAAAUUAAAGGAAUUAGUUUGUGUUUGUGUUUUUGUUGGAAAUUUGAUUGCUGGACAAAUUAAAUAAACAUGCCUAUUCCCAACUGGAAAAUGGAGAUUAUUGAGGAGAUAUUCGGCCUGUUUGACCCCUGCCUUAUAGACUCAAUUAUUCUAUCACAUCGUCAAGAACAAAUUUGGUUGAGCUUUCUGCCUAUCGAUGCCCGCUUCGGGUUGAGGGGCAGCUUCGGUCGCCGAGGCAUGGCCCAGAGGCAGCUUUACCUCCGGGUCGGAAAGUUAAAAAAAUUUUUGCUGUCCUAUGGUAUCA
Folsomia candida is the source of this 337-nucleotide long non-coding RNA. RefSeq lists it as uncharacterized. The transcript has 3 exons. The record is from RefSeq and is a predicted model, not a curated record. NCBI's taxonomy places the organism in Eukaryota, Metazoa, Arthropoda, Collembola, Entomobryomorpha, Isotomidae.